Molecule: transfer RNA, 77 nt
Filed under: Fasciola hepatica (liver fluke)
Lineage: Eukaryota; Metazoa; Platyhelminthes; Trematoda; Plagiorchiida; Fasciolidae
Rfam family: tRNA
About the family: Transfer RNA (tRNA) molecules are approximately 80 nucleotides in length. Their secondary structure includes four short double-helical elements and three loops (D, anti-codon, and T loops).
Source: Rfam by way of RNAcentral
UCCGCGGUAGCUCAUCUGGUAGAGCAUUUGCCUCGUUAGUUAGUGGAAUAUCGCCGGUUCCAUUCCGGCUCGCGGCA